This is a small nuclear RNA of Pteronotus mesoamericanus, 103 nucleotides long. Lineage: Eukaryota; Metazoa; Chordata; Mammalia; Chiroptera; Mormoopidae. The record is from RefSeq and is a predicted model, not a curated record.
UUGCUUCAGCAGCAUAUAGACUAAAAUUGGAAUCACAUAGAGAAGAUUAGCGUGGAGCCUGCAUGAGGAUGAUGUGCAAAUUUGUGAAGUGUCCCAUAUUUAA